Molecule: signal recognition particle RNA, 148 nt
Filed under: Pan troglodytes (chimpanzee)
Lineage: Eukaryota; Metazoa; Chordata; Mammalia; Primates; Hominidae
Description: Metazoan signal recognition particle RNA
Rfam family: Metazoan signal recognition particle RNA
About the family: The signal recognition particle (SRP) is a universally conserved ribonucleoprotein.
Source: Rfam by way of RNAcentral
GCCGGGCAUGGUGGUGCGUGCCUGUAAUCCCAGCUACUCGGGAGGCUGAGGCAGGAGAAUUGCUUGAACUCAGGAGGCAGAGGUUGCAGUGAGCCGAGAUCGCGCCACUGCACUCCAGCCUGGGUGACAGAGUGAGACUCUGUCUCAA